CCGACCUUAGCUCAGUUGGUAGAGCGGAGGACUGUAGUCGGUAUAGUUAUCCUUAGGUCGCUGGUUCGAAUCCGGCAGGUCGGA
RNAcentral lists this transfer RNA (84 nucleotides) under Musa acuminata subsp. malaccensis (wild Malaysian banana). It matches the Rfam family "tRNA". Rfam says of the family: Transfer RNA (tRNA) molecules are approximately 80 nucleotides in length. Their secondary structure includes four short double-helical elements and three loops (D, anti-codon, and T loops). The record is from Rfam by way of RNAcentral. Lineage: Eukaryota; Viridiplantae; Streptophyta; Magnoliopsida; Zingiberales; Musaceae.